UAGUGAUUAACGCGAAGAACCUUACCUGGGCUAGAAUGCCUCUGACAACCCUAGAGAUAGGGCCUUCUGGGUAAAACCAGACAGAGUGCAAGGUGCUGCAUGGCUGUCGUCAGCUCGUGUCGUGAGAUGUUGGGUUAAGUCCCGCAACGAGCGCAACCCUUAUCUUUAGUUGCCAGCAUUUAGUUGGGCAUUCUAGAGAGACUGCCGUUGACAAAACGGAGGAAGGUGGGGAUGACGUCAAGUCCUCAUGGCCUUUAUGUCCAGGGCUACACACGUGCUACAAUGGCCGGUACAAACCGCCGCAAACUCGCAAGAGGGAGCCAAUCGGAAAAAGCCGGUCUCAGUUCGGAUUGGGGUCUGCAACCCGACCCCAUGAAGUCGGAGUCGCUAGUAAUCGCAGAUCAACAACGCUGCGGUGAAUACGUUCCCGGGCCUUGUCACACCGAAUCGAA
Molecule: ribosomal RNA, 452 nt
Filed under: uncultured soil bacterium
Lineage: Bacteria
Description: bacterial SSU rRNA
Rfam family: Bacterial small subunit ribosomal RNA
Source: RNAcentral